UACGUAGGGUGCGAGCGUUGUCCGUAAUUAUUGGGCGUAAAGCGCUCGUAGGCGGUCUGUCGCGUCUGCUGUGAAAACCCGAGGCUCAACCUCGGGCCUGCAGUGGGUACGGGCAGACUAGAGUGCGGUAGGGGAGAAUGGAAUUCCUGGUGUAGCGGUGGAAUGCGCAGAUAUCAGGAGGAACACCGAUGGCGAAGGCAGUUCUCUGGGCCGUAACUGACGCUGAGGAGCGAAAGCGUGGGGAGCGAACAGG
RNAcentral lists this ribosomal RNA (253 nucleotides) under uncultured bacterium. RNAcentral's name for it is "partial 16S ribosomal RNA". It matches the Rfam family "Bacterial small subunit ribosomal RNA", at positions 524 to 776 of the family's 1533-position model. The record is from RNAcentral.